CCUACGGGAGGCAGCAGUGGGGAAUAUUGCACAAUGGGCGAAAGCCUGAUGCAGCAACGCCGCGUGAGCGAUGAAGGCCUUCGGGUCGUAAAGCUCUGUCCUCAAGGAAGAUAAUGACGGUACUUGAGGAGUAAGCCCCGGCUAACUACGUGCCAGCAGCCGCGGUAAUACGUGGGGGGCUAGCGUUAUCCGGAAUUACUGGGCGUAAGGGGUGCGUAGGUGGUUGCUUAAGUCAGAGGUGAAAGGCUACGGCCAAACCGUAGUAAGCCUUUGAAACUGGGAAACUUGAGUGCAGGAGAGGAGAGUGGAAUUCCUAGUGUAGCGGUGAAAUGCGUAGAUAUUAGGAAGAACACCAGUUGCGAAGGCGGCUCUCUGGACUGUAACUGACACUGAGGCACGAAAGCGUGGGGAGCAAACAGGAUUAGAUACCCGGGUAGUC
RNAcentral lists this ribosomal RNA (439 nucleotides) under uncultured bacterium. Its description in RNAcentral is "partial 16S ribosomal RNA". It matches the Rfam family "Bacterial small subunit ribosomal RNA", at positions 338 to 795 of the family's 1533-position model. The record is from RNAcentral.